Molecule: ribosomal RNA, 420 nt
Filed under: uncultured bacterium
Lineage: Bacteria
Description: bacterial SSU rRNA
Rfam family: Bacterial small subunit ribosomal RNA
Source: RNAcentral
GGAAUAUUGGACAAUGGGCGCAAGCCUGAUCCAGCCACGCCGCGUGAGUGAUGAAGGUCUUCGGAUCGUAAAACUCUGUCCUGAGGGACGAAAGCCCCGGGUUCGAAUAGGGCCUGGGAGUGACGGUACCUCUGGAGGAAGCACCGGCUAGCUCCGUGCCAGCAGCCGCGGUAAUACGGAGGGUGCUAACGUUGCUCGGAAUUACUGGGCGUAAAGCGCAUGCAGGCGGUCUGUUAAGUCUUGUGUGAAAGCCCUGGGCUCAACCCAGGAAGUGCACGAGAUACUGGCGGGCUAGAGUACUGGAGAAGUGGGCGGAAUUCCCGGUGUAGAGGUGAAAUUCGUAGAUAUCGGGAGGAACACCAGUAGCGAAAGCGGCUCACUAGACAGAUACUGACGCUCAGAUGCGAAAGCGUGGGGAGC